GACUGCAAGCAACAGAGAAUCAAACAGAAAUGGCCUAGGGAGUCCCUUUGUGGCUCCCCAGUUAACAAUCUGACUGGAUCAUGAGGAUGCAGGUUCAAUCCCUGGCCUCUAUCAGUGGGCGAAGGAUCUAGUGCUACCAUGAGCUGUGCUGUGGUGUAGGCUGGCGGCCGCAGCUCCAGUUGGACCGCUAGCCCGGGAACUUCCAUAUGCUGUGGGUGCAGCCCUAAAAAGCAAAAACAAACAAAAAAAUGAAACAAAACAAAACAAAAAAUCCACAAAAAAAAAUCAGAAAUGGCCUAAACAAAGAAGAAAACGUGUUAUCCCAUACUACAAGAAGUUUGGGGGUUGAGUGGUUAAACGCAUGAUUAGUUUAGAAACUUGACAGCACCACCCAGGACCCAUUUUCCCUAAGGCGCUGCUGCCCCCCACCCUGUAGGCUUAGCCACCGAAGCAAAGACACCCCCCUUCCCCAACCAGAGCCCUGCGUCAGGACUGGAAGGGGCCUCCUUCCCUCCAUCCCCUUCCAGAACCUCGGCAGAAGACUCCCCUUGACGUCUCAUUCCAUCCCAUACUGGUCACUUUGCAGGGGAACGGAUUUACCAUGGUGGCCAGAGACAAUUAAGUCGCCCCCAUCUCUGGAGAACACUUGACCACUCAGUACCCAGCAACUCGGGUACCCCUGGCAAGAAAGAGACAGGUGAUACCCACUGGGUCCUGUCCACAGCGCCUGCCCCCAGCAACCUGUCUACCUGGAAAACUGAGGGGGUGCCACGCGGGUCUGUGUCUUCUCUGUAGUUUGCCCGAGUCUUUCCCAUUAGGCCUGGGUGAUGGGCCAGCCGUGGUGAUCCUCACCCGUUUGCCUGGGCACCGUUUGGGAAACGUCCCCCUGCUCACCACGGAGAUGAAAGACCAGGUCCCUGGAGGGGCUUCGCGGAAGGAUUUUUCACCCCAGUAAAGCGGAAGACAAGCCAGGGGUGUCCUGCCCUACGCGCCGUCUGCCUCUGAGCCGCCGCCAGCUCACACCCUUGAGCAGAAACGUUGCAGGGAGGCAGAAAGCGCUGAGUCUCAUGGA
RNAcentral lists this long non-coding RNA (1072 nucleotides) under Sus scrofa (pig). RNAcentral describes it as "lncRNA (ENSSSCG00005018671.1)". The record is from RNAcentral. Lineage: Eukaryota; Metazoa; Chordata; Mammalia; Artiodactyla; Suidae.